CAUAACUAGUAUUGGAGGCACUGCCUGCCCAGUGACAACCGUUAAACGGCCGCGGUAUCCUGACCGUGCAAAGGUAGCAUAAUCACUUGUUCUCUAAAUAAGGACUUGUAUGAAUGGCCACACGAGGGUUUUACUGUCUCUUACUUCUAAUCAGUGAAAUUGACCUUCCCGUGAAGAGGCGGGAAUAUGCCAAUAAGACGAGAAGACCCUAUGGAGCUUUAACUACUUAGCCCAAAGAAUCAAAUUUUAUCACCAAGGAAACAACAACACUCUUUAUGGGUUAACAGCUUUGAUUGGGGUGAUCUCGGAGAAUAAGAAAUCCUCCGAGCGAUUUUAAAGACUAGACCUACAAGUCGAAUCACACAAUCGCUUAUUGAUCCAAAAAAUUGAUCAACGGAACAAGUUACCCUAGGGAUAACAGCGCAAUCCUAUUCAAGAGUCCAUAUCGACAAUAGGGUUUACGACCUCGAUGUUGGAUCAGGACAUCCCGAUGGUGCAACCGCUAUCAAAGGUUCGUUUGUUCAACGAUUAAAGUCCUACGUGAUCUGAGUU
This 552-nucleotide ribosomal RNA is filed under the name Dama dama (fallow deer). RNAcentral describes it as "partial 16S ribosomal RNA". It matches the Rfam family "Bacterial large subunit ribosomal RNA", at positions 1835 to 2611 of the family's 2925-position model. The record is from RNAcentral. Lineage: Eukaryota; Metazoa; Chordata; Mammalia; Artiodactyla; Cervidae.